GGGAUUGUAGUUCAAUCGGUCAGAGCACCGCCCUGUCAAGGCGGAAGCUAACACAUAAUUAUUCACAUAUAAGCCUA
RNAcentral lists this transfer RNA (77 nucleotides) under Morus notabilis. It matches the Rfam family "tRNA". From Rfam's summary of the family: Transfer RNA (tRNA) molecules are approximately 80 nucleotides in length. Their secondary structure includes four short double-helical elements and three loops (D, anti-codon, and T loops). Further hydrogen bonds mediate the characteristic L-shaped molecular structure. tRNAs have two regions of fundamental functional importance: the anti-codon, which is responsible for specific mRNA codon recognition, and the 3' end, to which the tRNAs corresponding amino acid is attached (by aminoacyl-tRNA synthetases). tRNAs cope with the degeneracy of the genetic code in two manners: having more than one tRNA (with a specific anti-codon) for a particular amino acid; and 'wobble' base-pairing, i.e. permitting non-standard base-pairing at the 3rd anti-codon position. The record is from Rfam by way of RNAcentral. Lineage: Eukaryota; Viridiplantae; Streptophyta; Magnoliopsida; Rosales; Moraceae.